GAUGAACGCUGGCGGCGUGCUUAACACAUGCAAGUCGAACGAAGCACUUUAUUUGAUUUCCUUCGGGACUGAUUAUUUUGUGACUGAGUGGCGGACGGGUGAGUAACGCGUGGGUAACCUGCCUUGUACAGGGGGAUAACAGUUGGAAACGGCUGCUAAUACCGCAUAAGCGCACGGCAUCGCAUGAUGCAGUGUGAAAAACUCCGGUGGUAUAAGAUGGACCCGCGUUGGAUUAGCUAGUUGGUGAGGUAACGGCCCACCAAGGCGACGAUCCAUAGCCGACCAGAGAGGGAGACCGGACACAUUGGGACUGAGACACGGCGCAAACUCCUACGGGAGGCAGCAGUGGGGAAUAUUGCACAAUGGGCGAAAGCCUGAUGCAGCGACGCCGCGUGAGCGAAGAAGUAUUGCGGGAAGUAAAGCACUAUAAGCAGGGAAGAUAAUGACGGUACCUGAAGAAGAAGCACCGGCUAAAUACGUG
Molecule: ribosomal RNA, 481 nt
Filed under: uncultured bacterium
Lineage: Bacteria
Description: partial 16S ribosomal RNA
Rfam family: Bacterial small subunit ribosomal RNA
Source: RNAcentral